CCCUUAGAUGUUCUGGGCCGCACACGCGCUACACUGAAGGAGGCAGCGUGUACUCCUGGAUCGAAAGAUUUGGGUAACCCGCGAAUCUCCUUCGUGCUAGGGAUUGAGGUUUGCAAUUAUCCUUCAUGAACGAGGAAUUCCCAGUAAGUGCAAGUCAUAAGCUUGCGCUGACUACGUCCCUGCCCUUUAUACACACCGCCCGUCGCUACUACCGAUUGAAUGAUUUAGUGAGGACUUCGGACUGGGACCGAUGCGGCUUUCGGGCUGCGUCGGUAUUCUGGAAAGAUGUCCAAACUGUAUCAUUUAGAGGAAGUAAAAGUCGUAACA
RNAcentral lists this ribosomal RNA (327 nucleotides) under uncultured eukaryote. RNAcentral describes it as "partial 18S ribosomal RNA". It matches the Rfam family "Eukaryotic small subunit ribosomal RNA", at positions 1470 to 1796 of the family's 1831-position model. The record is from RNAcentral.